RNAcentral lists this small RNA (231 nucleotides) under Arabidopsis thaliana (thale cress). RNAcentral describes it as "ATSL140510". Lineage: Eukaryota; Viridiplantae; Streptophyta; Magnoliopsida; Brassicales; Brassicaceae. The record is from RNAcentral.
AAUAUCAAAUACAAUUCCAUAAAUCUAUAAAGUUCUUGUUAAUACUAAAACCUUUGAGAGUACUAAUGAAAGAAAAAUCAGAUUAAGCUUUCUAGGCUGCAUUAUGCAUCAAAAAGAAGUUGAAUGUCAAUCAACAACUCAGAGCCCAGUGCAUAUUCAUCAUCUUUUCCUUCUUAGACCCUCAACAAUUAUUCUAGCCAGAUAAAAAAAUUGAAACAGAUACAAAAAAUU